This is a transfer RNA of Rhizoctonia solani AG-1 IA, 99 nucleotides long. It matches the Rfam family "tRNA". Rfam says of the family: Transfer RNA (tRNA) molecules are approximately 80 nucleotides in length. Their secondary structure includes four short double-helical elements and three loops (D, anti-codon, and T loops). Further hydrogen bonds mediate the characteristic L-shaped molecular structure. tRNAs have two regions of fundamental functional importance: the anti-codon, which is responsible for specific mRNA codon recognition, and the 3' end, to which the tRNAs corresponding amino acid is attached (by aminoacyl-tRNA synthetases). tRNAs cope with the degeneracy of the genetic code in two manners: having more than one tRNA (with a specific anti-codon) for a particular amino acid; and 'wobble' base-pairing, i.e. permitting non-standard base-pairing at the 3rd anti-codon position. The record is from Rfam. NCBI's taxonomy places the organism in Eukaryota, Fungi, Basidiomycota, Agaricomycetes, Cantharellales, Ceratobasidiaceae.
GGCCGCUUGGUCUAGUAGUAUGAUUCCUGUUUUGGGGAGUAAGCUUGCUUACAACAUCAAGCAUACAGGAGGUCGUGGGUUCAAUUCCCACAGCGGCCC